Non-coding RNA from Bactrocera oleae (olive fruit fly), 792 nucleotides. NCBI's taxonomy places the organism in Eukaryota, Metazoa, Arthropoda, Insecta, Diptera, Tephritidae. The record is from RefSeq and is a predicted model, not a curated record.
UCGACAUAAAUCGUCAUUGUUUUUGAAUUUUUGUUAUUUUUUUUGAAGACGAAAUAAUUAUUAAAAUUGUCUAAGUUGGACUAUGAACCUCUGAAUUUAUUACUUGUACGAUUUAUAUUGUGAGAAACCAACAUAUCAUCAAUCAUUACUAGAACCUAAGUACCGUAUGGCUUAAGCGGGAUUUUUUUAAGUGCCGUUCGCUAUUAAGUACCACUAAAAAUUUGCAUCUUUGGUUGUGGCAAUUUUUGGGAUUGACUGUAUAUGCAAGAACGCAUGAAACUUCUCUUUAGAAGCAACUAUCAGGCUAGAAAUAUAAUUCCAGGAUGACGAAUGCGAAGUGGUCUGAAGGCGCAAGAGGGGCUUAUAGGUGCUGGUAUCAAAAUUGGACAACGGGAGUGGCACCGCCCACAUAUAGGUGAAAUCACAUACCUCCGAACUUACUCCACCAAUUUCGCCAAAUUUGGUACGUAAAGUUAUCUUGACGUUCCCAUGUUGCAGUACGAAAAGUGGCCGAAAUCGGACGUAUACAAAUCGAGCACUAAUACUUUCUUUAAGGUAUGCCAUCUUAGGUUAGAUACCGAAAAUGUGGACCCCAGAGCCUAUGGUUGACUUUUUACUAAACCUUUUUACUUGGUUAAUCUGUGAGAUAUAUAAUUGAAACUCGGGGAAAAUGAUUUUUUGACAAUAAUAAAACCCUGUAAAAUAGUUCUCUAAUGAGAUUUUAAUAAGAAUUUGUAAAUGUGGUACCAUUUUAAUAAGAUACAGGCCGAAAAACUCUUCUAUUUGCACUAA